RNAcentral lists this ribosomal RNA (253 nucleotides) under uncultured bacterium. RNAcentral's name for it is "partial 16S ribosomal RNA". It matches the Rfam family "Bacterial small subunit ribosomal RNA", at positions 524 to 776 of the family's 1533-position model. The record is from RNAcentral.
UACGAAGGGGGCUAGCGUUGUUCGGAAUUACUGGGCGUAAAGCGCACGUAGGCGGAUAUUUAAGUCGGGGGUGAAAUCCCGGGGCUCAACCCCGGAACUGCCUUUGAUACUGGGUAUCUCGAGUCCGAGAGAGGUGAGUGGAAUUCCGAGUGUAGAGGUGAAAUUCGUAGAUAUUCGGAGGAACACCAGUGGCGAAGGCGGCUCACUGGCUCGGUACUGACGCUCAGGCACGAAAGCGUGGGGAGCAAACAGG